Molecule: ribosomal RNA, 429 nt
Filed under: bacterium
Lineage: Bacteria
Description: partial 16S ribosomal RNA
Rfam family: Bacterial small subunit ribosomal RNA
Source: RNAcentral
UAGGGAAUCUUCCACAAUGGACGCAAGUCUGAUGGAGCAACGCCGCGUGAGUGAAGAAGGUUUUCGGAUCGUAAAGCUCUGGUGUUGGUGAAGAAGGAUAGAGGCAGUAACUGGUCUUUAUUUGACGGUAAUCAACCAGAAAGUCACGGCUAACUACGUGCCAGCAUCCGCGGUAAUACGUAGGUGGCAAGCGUUGUCCGGAUUUAUUGGGCGUAAAGCGAGCGCAGGCGGAAUGAUAAGUCUGAUGUGGAAGCCCACGGCUCAACCGUGGAACUGCAUCGGAAACUGUCAUUCUUGAGUGCAGAAGAGGAGAGUGGAAUUCCAUGUGUAGCGGUGGAAUGCGUAGAUAUAUGAAAGGACACCAGUGGCGAAGGCGGCUCUCUGGUCUGCAACUGACGCUGAGGCGCGAAAGCAUGGGUAGCGAACAGA